UCCCCGUUACCGGGGCAGUCUGGCUAGAAAAAUACAACUAACCAUAGGGGUUGCGCUCGUUAAUGGACUUAACCAAACAUCUCACGACACGAGCUGACGACGGCCAUGCAACACCUGUCACUGAGUUCCCCUUACGAUUUACGAUUUACCGGACAACUUAUACAUUUGUCCUAUCAUAAAUCCUAAGGGGCACUCACUCCUUUCGGAGUAAUUCUCAGGAUGUCAAGCCCUGGUAAGGUUCUUCGCUUACCAUCGAAUUAAACAACACGCUCCACCGCUUGUGCGGGUCCCCGUCAAUUCCUUUGAGUUUUAGUCUUGCGACCGUACUCCCCAGGCGGGAUGCUUAACGCGUUAGCUUCGCUACUGAAGCGGGUCGAUACGCCCAACAGCUAGCAUCCAU
Molecule: unclassified non-coding RNA, 400 nt
Filed under: uncultured bacterium
Lineage: Bacteria
Description: contains 16S-23S intergenic spacer region
Source: RNAcentral